RNAcentral lists this ribosomal RNA (482 nucleotides) under uncultured bacterium. RNAcentral describes it as "bacterial SSU rRNA". It matches the Rfam family "Bacterial small subunit ribosomal RNA", at positions 29 to 506 of the family's 1533-position model. The record is from RNAcentral.
UUGAACGCUGGCGGAAUGCUUUACACAUGCAAGUCGAGCGGCAGCGCGGGGGCAACCCUGGCGGCGAGCGGCGAACGGGUGAGUAACACAUCGGAACGUACCCUGUCGUGGGGGAUAACACAUCGAAAGAUGUGCUAAUACCGCAUACGACCUGAGGGUGAAAGCGGGGGAUCGCAAGACCUCGCGCGACAGGAGCGGCCGAUGUCGGAUUAGCUAGUUGGUGAGGUAAAGGCUCACCAAGGCGACGAUCCGUAGCUGGUCUGAGAGGAUGACCCGCCACACUGGAACUGAGACACGGUCCAGACUCCUACGGGAGGCAGCAGUGGGGAAUUUUGGACAAUGGGGGCAACCCUGAUCCAGCCAUUCCGCGUGAGUGAAGAAGGCCUUCGGGUUGUAAAGCUCUUUCAGCAGGAACGAAACGGCCCACUCUAACAUAGGGGGCUAAUGACGGUACCUGAAGAAGAAGCACCGGCUAACUACGU